AUACGGAGGAUCCGAGCGUUAUCCGGAUUUAUUGGGUUUAAAGGGAGCGUAGGCGGACGCUUAAGUCAGUUGUGAAAGUUUGCGGCUCAACCGUAAAAUUGCAGUUGAUACUGGGUGUCUUGAGUACAGUAGAGGCAGGCGGAAUUCGUGGUGUAGCGGUGAAAUGCUUAGAUAUCACGAAGAACUCCGAUUGCGAAGGCAGCCUGCUGGACUGUAACUGACGCUGAUGCUCGAAAGUGUGGGUAUCAAACAGGAUUAGAUACCCUGGUAGUCCACACAGUAAACGAUGAAUACUCGCUGUUUGCGAUAUACAGUAAGCGGCCAAGCGAAAGCAUUAAGUAUUCCACCUGGGGAGUACGCCGGCAACGGUGAAACUCAAAGGAAUUGACGGGG
Molecule: ribosomal RNA, 393 nt
Filed under: uncultured bacterium
Lineage: Bacteria
Description: partial 16S ribosomal RNA
Rfam family: Bacterial small subunit ribosomal RNA
Source: RNAcentral